AGUCAAGCAGAAAGGGCACAAGGCGGAUGCCUUGGCUCCGGGAAGCGAAGAAGGACGCGGCCAGCUGCGAUAAGCCUCGGGGAGGAGCAAACAUCCUUUGAUCCGGGGAUUUCCGAAUGGGGCAACCCGCACGGGUGUUGAGCCCGUGCACUGACACUUGAAUACAUAGGGUGUCAGGGCGAACCCAGGGAACUGAAACAUCUCAGUACCUGGAGGAAGAGAAAUCAACCGAGAUUCCCUCAGUAGCGGCGAGCGAACGGGGAUGAGCCCAAACCGUCGGGUGCGCCCGGCGGGGUUGUAGGACCGUCAACAAAGUGGAGUAAGAAGGUUAGCUGAAGUGUCUGGGAAGGCACGGCAUAGAGGGUUAGACCCCCGUAGGCGAAAACUGGAAGACCUGCGAGACGGCACCUGAGUAGGGCGGGACACGUGGAACCCCGUCUGAAUCUGGGGGGACCUCCCUCCAAGGCUAAAUAUUACCCGGAGACCGAUAGUGAACCAGUACCGUGAGGGAAAGGUGAAAAGCACCUCGAACAGAGGAGUGAAAUAGUUCCUGAAACCUUGUGUCUACAAGCAGUGGAAGCCCUUCGGGGCGACCGCGUGCCUUUUGCAUAAUGAGCCAACGAGUUGUCCGUCGGCGGCCAGGUUAAGCCUCUGGUGUAGCCGUAGCGAAAGCGAGUCUGAAUAGGGCAUUCAGUCGCCGGCGACAGACCCGAAACCGAGUGAUCUAUCCCUGUCCAGGUUGAAGCCUGGGUAAGACCAGGUGGAGGACCGAACCAAUGUGCCUUAAAAAGUGCUUGGAUGAGGUGGGGAUAGGAGUGAAAGGCUAAUCAAACUCGGAGAUAGCUGGUUCUCCCCGAAACCUAUUUAGGUAGGGCCUCGUGGUAGGCCGCCGGAGGUAGAGCACUGGAUGGACUAGGGCCCCCACCAGGGUACCAAACCCAACCAAACUACGAAUGCCGGUAAGUCGUUCCGCGGGAGUCAGACGGCGGGAGCUAACUUUCGUCGUCGAAAGGGAAACAACCCAGACCGUCAGCUAAGGCCCCCAAGUCAUGGCUAAGUGGGAAAGGAAGUGGGAACGCCCAGACAACCAGGAGGUUAGCUUAGAAGCAGCUACCCUUUAAAGAAAGCGUAAUAGCUCACUGGUCAAGCGGGCCUGCACCGAAAAUAUAACGGGGCUUAAGCCAUGCGCCGAAGCUGCGGAUCGUCCUUCGGGACGAUGGUAGGGGAGCGUUCCCCGUGCGGAGAAGCUGUGGUGGGAACCAUGGUGGAGCGCGGGGAAGUGAGGAUGUUGGCAUGAGUAACGAAAAUGCGGGCGAGAAACCCGCACGCCGAAAGUCCAAGGGUUCCUGGGCCAGGUUAAUCCGCCCAGGGUUAGUCGGCACCUAAGGCGAGGCCGAAAGGCGUAGCCGAAGGAAAACCGGUUCAUAUUCCGGUACUUGCGGUGACGCGUGAUGGAGGGACGCAGGAGGAUAGGUCGGCCGGGUGAUGGAUGUCCCGGUUUAAGGCGGUAGCCGGAAGCUCUAGGCAAAUCCGGAGCUUCAACGGCGAGAGCUGAUGACGAGAGGCUUUGCCUCACAAAGCGAUUGAUUCCACACUGCCAAGAAAAGCUUCUAAGCAUAGUCACGGCAAACCGUACCCCAAACCGACACAGGUGGACAGGUAGAGAAUACCAAGGCGCUUGAGAGAAACCAUGUUAAGGAACUCUGCAAAUUAACUCCGUACCUUUGGAAGAAGGAGUGCCCACAAAGUGAAGGGGCUUGCCCCCGGAGCUUAGCUGGGUCGCAGUGACCAGGCCUGGCCGACUGUUUAGCAAAAACAUAGCACUCUGCAAACUCGCAAGAGGAAGUAUAGGGUGUGACGCCUGCCCGGUGCCGGAAGGUUAACAGGAGAGGUCAGCUUCGGCGAAGCCUCGAAUCGAAGCCCCGGUAAACGGCGGCCGUAACUAUAACGGUCCUAAGGUAGCGAAAUUCCUUGUCGGGUAAGUUCCGACCUGCACGAAUGGC
RNAcentral lists this ribosomal RNA (2003 nucleotides) under Sphingomonadaceae bacterium. Its description in RNAcentral is "bacterial LSU rRNA". It matches the Rfam family "Bacterial large subunit ribosomal RNA", at positions 1 to 2000 of the family's 2925-position model. Lineage: Bacteria; Pseudomonadati; Pseudomonadota; Alphaproteobacteria; Sphingomonadales; Sphingomonadaceae. The record is from RNAcentral.